RNAcentral lists this ribosomal RNA (547 nucleotides) under Fusarium oxysporum. Its description in RNAcentral is "eukaryotic LSU rRNA". The stretch from base 193 to 346 matches the Rfam family "5.8S ribosomal RNA". Lineage: Eukaryota; Fungi; Ascomycota; Sordariomycetes; Hypocreales; Nectriaceae. The record is from RNAcentral.
UCGUAACAAGGUCUCCGUUGGUGAACCAGCGGAGGGAUCAUUACCGAGUUUACAACUCCCAAACCCCUGUGAACAUACCACUUGUUGCCUCGGCGGAUCAGCCCGCUCCCGGUAAAACGGGACGGCCCGCCAGAGGACCCCUAAAACUCUGUUUCUAUAUGUAACUUCUGAGUAAAACCAUAAAUAAAUCAAAACUUUCAACAACGGAUCUCUUGGUUCUGGCAUCGAUGAAGAACGCAGCAAAAUGCGAUAAGUAAUGUGAAUUGCAGAAUUCAGUGAAUCAUCGAAUCUUUGAACGCACAUUGCGCCCGCCAGUAUUCUGGCGGGCAUGCCUGUUCGAGCGUCAUUUCAACCCUCAAGCACAGCUUGGUGUUGGGACUCGCGUUAAUUCGCGUUCCUCAAAUUGAUUGGCGGUCACGUCGAGCUUCCAUAGCGUAGUAGUAAAACCCUCGUUACUGGUAAUCGUCGCGGCCACGCCGUUAAACCCCAACUUCUGAAUGUUGACCUCGGAUCAGGUAGGAAUACCCGCUGAACUUAAGCAUAUCAA